GCAUCUAGAUUAGACUUUGAUCCUGGCUCAGGAUGAACGCUAGCGGCAGGCUUAAUACAUGCAAGUCGUGGGGCAGCAGCUCUGUAGCAAUACAGAGGCUGGCGACCGGCAAACGGGUGCGGAACACGUACACAACCUUCCUUCGAGUGGGGAAUAGCCCAGGGAAACUUGGAUUAAUACCCCGUAAUAAAUAGGAGUGGCAUCACUUUUAUUUUAAAGCUCCGGCGCUUGAAGAUGGGUGUGCGGCUGAUUAGGUAGUUGGCGGGGUAACGGCCCACCAAGCCUACGAUCAGUAGCUGAUGUGAGAGCAUGAUCAGCCACACGGGCACUGAGACACGGGCCCGACUCCUACGGGAGGCAGCAGUAAGGAAUAUUGGUCAAUGGACGAAAGUCUGAACCAGCCAUGCCGCGUGGAGGAUGAAGGUCCUCUGGAUUGUAAACUUCUUUUCUCUGGGGCGAAAAAAGCCUAUUCUUGGGCACUUGACAGUACCAGAGGAAUAAGCACCGGCUAACUCCGUGCCAGCAGCCGCGGUAAUACGGAGGGUGCAAGCGUUAUCCGGAUUCACUGGGUUUAAAGGGUGCGUAGGUGGGCAGGUAAGUCAGUGGUGAAAUCCCCGGGCUUAACUUGGGAACUGCCGUUGAUGCUAUCUGUCUUGAAUACCGUGGAGGUGGGCGGAAUAUGUCAUGUAGCGGUGAAAUGCUUAGAUAUGACAUAGAACACCUAUGUGAAGGCAGCUCACUACACGGUAAUUGACACUGAGGCACGAAAGCGUGGGGAGCAAACAGGAUUAGAUACCCUGGUAGUCCACGCCCUAAACGAUGAUCACUCGACAUCAGCGAUACACUGUUGGUGUCUGAGCAAAAGCAUUAAGUGAUCCACCUGGGAAGUACGAUCGCAAGAUUGAAACUCAAAGGAAUUGGGCGGGGGUCCGCACAAGCGGUGGGGCAUGUGGUUUAAUUCGAUGAUACGCGAGGAACCUUACCAGGGCUAGAAUGUGGCAUGACAGACAGUGAAACUGUCCCCUACAUAGGCGUGUCAUUGCUGCAUGGCGCAGCUCCGGGAUCCGCAACGCCAUCACUACUCGAGCGAUCUCAGAGUAAUCCCUGG
RNAcentral lists this ribosomal RNA (1108 nucleotides) under uncultured bacterium. RNAcentral describes it as "bacterial SSU rRNA". It matches the Rfam family "Bacterial small subunit ribosomal RNA", at positions 1 to 1212 of the family's 1533-position model. The record is from RNAcentral.